UACGUAGGCGGCAAGCGUUGUCCGGAUUUACUGGGUGUAAAGGGCGUGCAGCCGGAGAGACAAGUCAGAUGUGAAAUCCACGGGCUCAACCCGUGAACUGCAUUUGAAACUGUUUCCCUUGAGUGUCGGAGAGGUAAUCGGAAUUCCUUGUGUAGCGGUGAAAUGCGUAGAUAUAAGGAAGAACACCAGUGGCGAAGGCGGAUUACUGGACGAUAACUGACGGUGAGGCGCGAAAGCGUGGGGAGCAAACAGG
This 253-nucleotide ribosomal RNA is filed under the name uncultured bacterium. RNAcentral describes it as "partial 16S ribosomal RNA". It matches the Rfam family "Bacterial small subunit ribosomal RNA", at positions 524 to 776 of the family's 1533-position model. The record is from RNAcentral.